Long non-coding RNA from Cynocephalus volans (Philippine flying lemur), 420 nucleotides. RefSeq lists it as uncharacterized. Lineage: Eukaryota; Metazoa; Chordata; Mammalia; Dermoptera; Cynocephalidae. The record is from RefSeq and is a predicted model, not a curated record. The transcript is spliced from 3 exons.
CAGGAGGGAGCAGCCCUGGAGCGCGCAGGGUCAGGGCUCCUGUGACCAGGGGGUGGAAAUGUGGCCUCCUGCUCUACCUUCUGUUCGAGAAUGACGGAGGGACAAGGCGGAGGAGUGGAGGAGACCAGACAUGGAUGAUGAUGUUUUUAAUGGACUUGGAGAUGGGUUGCUCAAUUUGUGAAAAAACACGAUGAUGAAGACACUCACAAAUGCUUGUUGCAAGAAGGUGCAGGAGAGAGAAAGAUGCGCUGCACUUUUCUCAUGGAUGCCCGACCUGAUUUUCCCAGUUCACUCUCCUAAGCAGCACCUGUGCACAGACAUAGGCAGGGAUGAAGGCCCUGGCUUUUCACUGUAGAAGUCCCUUUCCUUCUGGAGUGUGACAGUCUGUAGUCCCAGGCUGGUGCAGCACCAGCAGAAUUA